AUGAUUUUUCUGCUCCUGAGCGUCCAUUUAAACUAUAUUCUAGUUUCAGGUUCCUCUUUCAGUGAUAAAGUCGACCAGACUCCAGCUAAUAUUUACACAAAAGGAGAGGAUGCUAAAAUCUACUGCUCACACAGCAUUACAAACUAUAACCGAAUCCUCUGGUACAAGCAGUCAAAAACACAGCUACAACUGCUCGGACUUUUAUUUUUUAGCCUCACACCUGGAAUCAGCGAUUAUAACCAAUGUACUCCAGAGACUGGCGUGAAUGUCAUUAUAGAUGGGGGUGCAGAAAAAGAAGAGAACUGCACAUUAACAAUCACGGAUCUCAAAGUGAGCAGCAGUGGAGUGUACUUCUGUGCUCCUCUCACACCUGGAAUCAGCCAUUAA
Molecule: non-coding RNA, 387 nt
Organism: Neolamprologus brichardi
Lineage: Eukaryota; Metazoa; Chordata; Actinopteri; Cichliformes; Cichlidae
Source: the annotation of a RefSeq genome assembly